GCAGAGUAGGAUCGUGCGCGUGAAGUGCCGGAUGAACAGGGAGUUGUCACCCGGACGAAAAGCAGGGGAUAUCCCGUGCUUGCGGUGUAUGUUCCGCAUCCCGCUGC
Molecule: non-coding RNA, 107 nt
Filed under: bovine gut metagenome
Description: THF riboswitch
Rfam family: THF (Tetrahydrofolate) riboswitch aptamer
About the family: THF riboswitch presents a pseudoknot that joins P1-P2 and the loop of P3 and two THF binding.
Source: RNAcentral